CCUACGGGGGGCUGCAGUGGGGAAUAUUGCACAAUGGGCGCAAGCCUGAUGCAGCCAUGCCGCGUGUGUGAAGAAGGCCUUCGGGUUGUAAAGCACUUUCAGCGGGGAGGAAGGCGGUGAGGUUAAUAACCUCAUCGAUUGACGUUACCCGCAGAAGAAGCACCGGCUAACUCCGUGCCAGCAGCCGCGGUAAUACGGAGGGUGCAAGCGUUAAUCGGAAUUACUGGGCGUAAAGCGCACGCAGGCGGUCUGUCAAGUCGGAUGUGAAAUCCCCGGGCUCAACCUGGGAACUGCAUUCGAAACUGGCAGGCUAGAGUCAUGUAGAGGGGGGUAGAAUUCCAGGUGUAGCGGUGAAAUGCGUAGAGAUCUGGAGGAAUACCGGUGGCGAAGGCGGCCCCCUGGACAAAGACUGACGCUCAGGUGCGAAAGCGUGGGGAGCAAACAGGAUUAGAUACCCGGGUAGUC
RNAcentral lists this ribosomal RNA (465 nucleotides) under uncultured Klebsiella sp. Its description in RNAcentral is "bacterial SSU rRNA". It matches the Rfam family "Bacterial small subunit ribosomal RNA", at positions 338 to 795 of the family's 1533-position model. Lineage: Bacteria; Pseudomonadati; Pseudomonadota; Gammaproteobacteria; Enterobacterales; Enterobacteriaceae. The record is from RNAcentral.